AGUGAACGCUGGCGGUAGGCCUAACACAUGCAAGUCGAACGGCAGCACAGUAAGAGCUUGCUCUUACGGGUGGCGAGUGGCGGACGGGUGAGGAAUACAUCGGAAUCUACUUUUUCGUGGGGGAUAACGUAGGGAAACUUACGCUAAUACCGCAUACGACCUACGGGUGAAAGCAGGGGAUCUUCGGACCUUGCGCGAUUGAAUGAGCCGAUGUCGGAUUAGCUAGUUGGCGGGGUAAAGGCCCACCAAGGCGACGAUCCGUAGCUGGUCUGAGAGGAUGAUAGGCCACACUGGAAGUGAGACACGGUCAAGACUCCUACGGGAGGCAGCAGUGGGGAAUAUUGGACAAUGGGCGCAAGCCUGAUCCAGCCAUACCGCGUGGGUGAAGAAGGCCUUCGGGUUGUAAAGCCCUUUUGUUGGGAAAGAAAAGCAGCAGGUUAAUACCCCGCUGUUCUGACGGUACCCAAAGAAUAAGCACCGGCUAACUUCGUG
This 492-nucleotide ribosomal RNA is filed under the name uncultured bacterium. Its description in RNAcentral is "partial 16S ribosomal RNA". It matches the Rfam family "Bacterial small subunit ribosomal RNA", at positions 29 to 507 of the family's 1533-position model. The record is from RNAcentral.